This is a ribosomal RNA of 561 nucleotides. It matches the Rfam family "Eukaryotic large subunit ribosomal RNA", at positions 38 to 625 of the family's 3401-position model.
GCAUAUCAAUAAGCGGAGGAAAAGAAACCAACAGGGAUUGCCCCAGUAACGGCGAGUGAAGCGGCAACAGCUCAAAUUUGAAAUCUGGCCUCGGCCCGAGUUGUAAUUUGCAGAGGAAGCUUUAGGCGCGGCACCAUCUGAGUCCCCUGGAACGGGGCGCCACAGAGGGUGAGAGCCCCGUAUAGAUGGACGCCUAGCCUGUGUAAAGCUCCUUCGACGAGUCGAGUAGUUUGGGAAUGCUGCUCAAAAUGGGAGGUAAAUUUCUUCUAAAGCUAAAUACCGGCCAGAGACCGAUAGCGCACAAGUAGAGUGAUCGAAAGAUGAAAAGCACUUUGAAAAGAGGGUUAAAUAGCACGUGAAAUUGUUGAAAGGGAAGCGCUUGUGACCAGACUUGCGCCGGGCGGAUCAUCCGGUGUUCUCACCGGUGCACUCCGCCCGGCUCAGGCCAGCAUCGGUUCUCGCGGGGGGAUAAAGGCACCGGGAACGUAGCUCCCUCGGGAGUGUUAUAGCCCGGGGCGUAAUGCCCUCGCGGGGACCGAGGACCGCGCUUCGGCAAGGAUG